UCAAGGACUCACAGGCUACUACUCUACUGCCCUUUGCCUCCACUUCAGCAGGAUAAAGAAGCCCAGGUCCCUCAACCUCUCCUCAAGAGCGCGGUUAUUCCCCCCUAGUCGCAGGACUYGACGUUUCUCUUGUAAAUCUUCAUGARGUGCCUGUUGUCCAAAUCACCGAAGUUUCYCAAGGUCGUUCAGGACUGAAGUUUCUCUGUGUCAAAAAAAACAAACACAAAGCAGCACCAAUGGGGAAAGGCUAAGCAGGUGUGGGCUGAUUUUAUGGGAGGGGGUAAGGAUGGUGGAAGACACAAGCUUAGAAGGGGGAAAAGAAAAAAAAAACAGCUUUCAUCUCCUGGCAAGACUCUCUCCAGAUCAUGGCACAGCGCCACUCUGUCACCCUGCGCACAAAUCACAAAAGGGAACAAUUGGUCUUGCUUUUCCUUUAGUACCAUCAAGUCCGAGCUGGGAGCCUUUGCACUGCAGCACCUACACAAUGACAGCAGCAGGCCACUUUCAUUUCUACUGCAUUUCUAGGUACGGAGACCAGCUGAGGGAGCAGCUCCACGGGAAAGGGCUUCUGACACUCUCAGAUCAACUCGGCACUGCAACAGCCAUCAACCCAACGCCAGACUGCUGCUGCGCCAGCUAGUCUACAAACACACUGCCUCUGCCCCACACAGCUGGCUCUUCUGCUACAUACAAUCAAGUGCCAGCAAGAAGAGAUGCCUGCAGGACACCCACCACCUGCACACUCCCCAGGCACUGCUCUGCUCGCUGCCUUCCAUUGGCUCCUCAACUCAGACACACAGGCAAGCUCUUGCGGUAACACCACAAGGUGGCCAAGGCACUCUAGCCUCACAAGGCCUGUGCAAAUGAGCAGCACAAGUCAGGCACAGAGCUGGCUCCUUGCGCGAUGCUGCUCUUUUCAGAGGGAAGGAUCCUGCUUUCUUUGGGCACAGCAGGCUGCUGCUUUCCACCACCAUCCCCUCAGGAACCUCCAGCCAAGGAUGGGCGGAUGGGGAUUCUGUUUAGUAAUGCAAAAGUUACACAUACAAUGCAGAAUCAUUUGAGAGUCCUGAAGGCCUCCUGAGCCCAAAGUAACCUCCCUUCCUUUCCUUUAGUUACUUGCACAAGGAGCCCCUCUGAAGGGGAAAAGGGUGCAGAGGCUUUGACAUGAGACCCAAGCAAUGAGACUGCCCCAGACAGCAGGUCUGCUGAAAUGACAGCUGUCCUGGCUGCACAGGCUCUGCAGCAGCCCUCCGGGCUCCACAGCUGGCUUCACAGAGCACUGAGGGCUGGGUGCCACGGGCAACCUGGCCCUGGGCACAUCUUCACCCCUCACAGAGCCAGGAGCCCAAGAGCUCUGAGAUUUCCUCAGAUCAAGGUACGGACGCUUUGGGG
This 1392-nucleotide long non-coding RNA is filed under the name Apteryx haastii (Great spotted kiwi). Its description in RNAcentral is "lncRNA (ENSAHAG00000003888.1)". The record is from RNAcentral. Lineage: Eukaryota; Metazoa; Chordata; Aves; Apterygiformes; Apterygidae.